UGCACUUGUUCUGGUCUGCCC
RNAcentral lists this non-coding RNA (21 nucleotides) under Rattus norvegicus (Norway rat). The record is from RNAcentral. Lineage: Eukaryota; Metazoa; Chordata; Mammalia; Rodentia; Muridae.